UCGUGAUCUUUCGUAAACGUUCGGCUUCGAAUGGCGGACUAGUCUGUGGGUGUGGUGGCAGAGUGAAGAUUUUUGUAAUUGGUUUAUAUAUUAUUGCUUAUUUUAAGUUUCUUAAAACAUUAUGACUACGUGUGAUUUAUGUUAAUGACAUAUACAUUCCACACCGUGUGGAUUUGGUAGAGAAGAAUUCAAGAACGAGCAGAACAUAUCUUCUCCUGAAGUGGUCUUUGGCAUGAUGGCAGCAGCAAUACACAGUGGUUGGAAUACAUGAGUGAAUAAACGAAAUGGCAGCAGUACAUAACCAAAAAGCUUUUUGAAUGGAGGAUCUGCAACUAUGCUGAGCUAGAUGCACCAGUCAAUUUGCAAGCUACACCAUGAUCAUUUGAAGAACUUACUUUUCAACACCACUGCAUUUAGGAGGUUACAUGUUUGACCUUAUGCUACUCCCCUUGAAGAAACUGCCAUGAUGGCUGGAGAAAAUUUCAUUGUCAUAAUUUCUUCAAUUUUCACUUAUUUGGGAUCCAAUCUUCUGUAAAUUCUUUCAGUUUGCGCAUUUCCCCUCAAUAAGAACAGUGAUUCAGAAAUAUAAGGAUUCUUGCUUUUUACUGUCUUUGUUGUAUUAGGUACAUAAAAUUGCAGUUUUCAGUUGACAAUUUUCCUUCAUGUAAGUUGUCUGCGUGAUUCCUCCAGAUAUUUAAAUUCUGACACUUUUCUAAAUUGGCAUUUUGCAGUUUCCUUGCAUGAUCUUGUAGGAUAAUUUCAUAUGAACUGUUGGGCAGAAUUUAUGUUUGCCUUUGGUUCUAAAAAAAAUUGCCAUUGAAUAUUACUUUGUCUGCCAAUAACAGUUUAAAAACUUUAUUGGCUUAUCUUAAAUUACUUCUUAAUUGCUUUUAAAAUAUGCAGUGUCCUAUGUGCUAUUAAUAAAACCUGAAGAUGAGUAAUUUUAGCCAAAACCUGCUGUUCAGUAUUAAUACAACCAAUAAAGCGUGAAAAAGCAACAGUAUAAAAAAAUAUGCAGUUAACACACCGGGUUAAAAUUAAAAACAUUUUAGUUGUUCAGAGCCAGGAACAAUUUAAACAUUCCAAUUUUUCAAAUGUAUCAUGUUCAAAAUUAAAAUAGGAAGGUAAACACUUCAUAAUUGUUACUUUAUCAGAUGUAGCAGUUACCAGAUUUUGUUGAAAUACCAGUUGGUCACGUCAACUGCUGUGUUGUGUUCUGAGACAAGUAAGUACUUUCGCUGGCUUUAAAUAUGGUUUCUGUUCUCUUCAGUUCUCUAUGGUUCUGAUUAUGUAAGAAACUCUGAGAGUUGUUUUGUUCGUGCAUAUUUUAAUAACUUAACAUAGUUCAAUUCUUAAAGGAAAAGUAAAGAUGGACCCUGUAUUGAGCACAA
Zootermopsis nevadensis is the source of this 1391-nucleotide non-coding RNA. NCBI's taxonomy places the organism in Eukaryota, Metazoa, Arthropoda, Insecta, Blattodea, Termopsidae. The record is from RefSeq and is a predicted model, not a curated record.